This 253-nucleotide ribosomal RNA is filed under the name uncultured bacterium. Its description in RNAcentral is "partial 16S ribosomal RNA". It matches the Rfam family "Bacterial small subunit ribosomal RNA", at positions 524 to 776 of the family's 1533-position model. The record is from RNAcentral.
UACGGAGGGGGCUAGCGUUGUUCGGAAUUACUGGGCGUAAAGCGCACGUAGGCGGCUUUGUAAGUUAGAGGUGAAAGCCUGAUGCUCAACAUCAGAAUUGCCUUUAAGACUGCAUCGCUUGAACGUCGGAGAGGUGAGUGGAAUUCCGAGUGUAGAGGUGAAAUUCGUAGAUAUUCGGAAGAACACCAGUGGCGAAGGCGGCUCACUGGACGACUGUUGACGCUGAGGUGCGAAAGCGUGGGGAGCAAACAGG